RNAcentral lists this small nucleolar RNA (92 nucleotides) under Leishmania donovani. RNAcentral describes it as "C/D box snoRNA LD36Cs-11C2". Lineage: Eukaryota; Euglenozoa; Kinetoplastea; Trypanosomatida; Trypanosomatidae. The record is from RNAcentral.
CGCAGGAUGACAAAAAAUGUUUCAUUGUAGUGUGCGCUGAGCUGGACGCCUGCUGAGAAAUCGAACAUAUCGCAAAUCACUCCACUCUGAGG